GAUGAACGCUGGCGGCGUGCCUAAUACAUGCAAGUCGAGCGAACAGACGAGGAGCUUGCUCCUUCGACGUUAGCGGCGGACGGGUGAGUAACACGUAGAUAACCUACCUAUAAGACUGGGAUAACUUCGGGAAACCGGAGCUAAUACCGGAUAAUAUUUCGAACCGCAUGGUUCGAUAGUGAAAGAUGGCUUUGCUAUCACUUAUAGAUGGACCUGCGCCGCAUUAGCUAGUUGGUAAGGUAACGGCUUACCAAGGCAACGAUGCGUAGCCGACCUGAGAGGGUGAUCGGCCACACUGGAACUGAGACACGGUCCAGACUCCUACGGGAGGCAGCAGUAGGGAAUCUUCCGCAAAGGGCGAAAGCCUGACGGAGCAACGCCGCGUGAGUGAUGAAGGUCUUCGGAUCGUAAAACUCUGUUAUUAGGGAAGAACAAACGUGUAAGUAACUGUGCACGUCUUGACGGUACCUAAUCAGAAAGCCACGGCUAACUACGUG
Molecule: ribosomal RNA, 497 nt
Filed under: uncultured bacterium
Lineage: Bacteria
Description: partial 16S ribosomal RNA
Rfam family: Bacterial small subunit ribosomal RNA
Source: RNAcentral